Molecule: ribosomal RNA, 468 nt
Filed under: Xylographa isidiosa
Lineage: Eukaryota; Fungi; Ascomycota; Lecanoromycetes; Baeomycetales; Xylographaceae
Description: SSU rRNA
Rfam family: Bacterial small subunit ribosomal RNA
Source: RNAcentral
AUGUAUAGCGAAAGCUGGUUGCAUUAACUAAUAGUUAGUACAACAUCGACUAUGUCGAAUAAAAUUCUAGGUAGAGUUAUGAUAAUGACAUUUUCUAUCUAUGUGUCUUGACCAAAUCACGUGCCAGCAGUCGCGGUAAUACGUGGAAGACUAGUGUUAUUCAUCUUUAAUUGGUUUAAAGGGUACUUAGACUGUCAAUUAAGCCCCUAAGGUACUAAUUGACUAGAGUUUGAUGAGAGGGGGGAAGUACGAAAGAGUGUAGAGAUAAAAUUCUGUAAUACCUAAUUUGGAACAGACAACGGCGAAAGCAACCCCUUAUGUAAAAACUGACGUUGAAGGACGAAGGCUUGGGACACCAACAGGAUUAGAUACCCUAGCAGUCCUUGCAGACAAUGAUGAAUGUCAUAGAUUGGAUAAGAUAUCUUUUUGUCUAUAAAUGAAAGUGUAAGCAUUCCACCUCAAGAGUAA